UGGCGGACGGGUGAGUAACGCGUGGGCAACCUGGCCUGUACAGGGGGAUAACACUUAGAAAUAGGUGCUAAUACCGCAUAAGCGCACAGUAUCGCAUGAUACAGUGUGAAAAACUCCGGUGGUACAGGAUGGACCCGCGUCUGAUUAGCUGGUUGGCGGGGUAACGGCCCACCAAGGCGACGAUCAGUAGCCGGCCUGAGAGGGUGAACGGCCACAUUGGGACUGAGACACGGCCCAAACUCCUACGGAAGGCAGCAG
Molecule: ribosomal RNA, 258 nt
Filed under: uncultured bacterium
Lineage: Bacteria
Description: partial 16S ribosomal RNA
Rfam family: Bacterial small subunit ribosomal RNA
Source: RNAcentral